GCGCUUGCUUCCCUCUUCCGAGGGUGAAGAUCGACGGUCUGGUCGAACACAGCUAUCUCGCUCUCCUCUAUUGAUCGAGACCAGCUUCAGCCACUAUUGCUAGGACGGGCUUACUUAGACUGAGAACAGAGAUUCUUUUCUCUGCUAUGCUACUUUCCUCUUUCUUCCCUGAGGGCAUUCCUUUCCUUCCAAUAGAGCCAAACGGUCUUGCCCGGAACUAUAUCCCCCCGAUUCC
This 235-nucleotide long non-coding RNA is filed under the name Phoenix dactylifera (date palm). RNAcentral's name for it is "long non-coding RNA (PDAC_LNC005670)". Lineage: Eukaryota; Viridiplantae; Streptophyta; Magnoliopsida; Arecales; Arecaceae. The record is from RNAcentral.